Molecule: long non-coding RNA, 550 nt
Filed under: Carica papaya (papaya)
Lineage: Eukaryota; Viridiplantae; Streptophyta; Magnoliopsida; Brassicales; Caricaceae
Description: long non-coding RNA (CPAP_LNC014818)
Source: RNAcentral
GGGAAUGUGCGAAGGUUCCUCUCCACUAACUGUGCCUUGGUCAGAACAGCCGAAUAAGUACUAAGCUCUAGCACAUACAACUGUUGUCUGAUCUCAGGACGGAGACCCCACUUGAACCUUCUAGCCUUCCUGCCUUCAUCCAUCAUGCUCUCAGAGGAAUACCGGCCAAACUCUAAGAACUUGCGAGCAUAUUCUAAUACAAUUAUGUCUUCCUGGACUAAGUGUGCAAACUCCAUCUCCUUCAGAUAUCAAAGAUGUUCUAAAAGGUACUCUGCAUGAAAGGCCAUCAGGAACUGUUCUCAAGUAUAUGGAACGAGCAGGGUGGCCUGCUUGAGUUGCCAUCAGCGGCCUACUUCUCUCACCAGCAUGUAGGUAGCAAGGAUGACUUUCUAUUCAAGAAUCAUCCCAAGUGUCGAGAAGACCUUCUCUGUCUCAACUAACCAGUACUCAGCCUCUUCAAAGGAGGAUCCCCCCUGCAAAAGUAGAUAGGUUUAGUCUUUUAUACCUUUCAAUGUAGUUUAGGUCUAUCAUGGGAAGAACUGUGUCCCGU